GUGUUGAGCUGUGGAAAGAAGAGUCCAAGAAGCUAUGGCACAUAGCUGGUCCUUCUAUUUUUACCAGGGUCACAUCCUACAGCAUGAAUAUUGUUACUCAAGCUUUUGCUGGUCACCUUGGUGACCUUGAGCUUGCUUCCAUUUCCAUUGGCAACACUGUUGUUCUUGGUUUCAAUUUUGGACUCAUUGUAAGUUGUCUUAUUUGCUUUUGCUGCUAUAACAUAUCUGUUUUGUCGGGAAAUGAUAUAUGGAGACUACUAUUUUAUUGAAGACUCGGAGACCAUACAUGUUGUGCAAGCAAAAUAUGUUUUGAAUAACCAUAAUAUUUAGUUGUUGUGCAAAAAGCUUGAAUGCUAUGAUUUUCUAAUCUCAGACUCUGAAAAUUAUAAGCAUAUAUAAUUGUGUGUGCCAAUAUAGAAAAGGCAUAAGCUUCUGAAUAGUAUACUUCAUAUAUCAUCUGCACAUUACCAUAUCAGGGAAGUAGGUUGUGCUUUAUAGAAAUUCAUGAUCAAUGAAUCGCAUAGUAUAAACGUUGUUUUCUGACAAUAUUUGAAGGUGUAUUAAUAAGAAAUUGUUGGUUUUGUGCAAUUCAAGUUAGGAAUGGCAAGUGCAUUAGAGACUCUCUGUGGUCAAGCUUUUGGAGCAAAAAAGCACCACAUGUUGGGAAUAUACCUACAAAGAUCAUGGAUUGUUCUCUUCUUCUGUUGUGUCUUGUUGUUGCCGAUAUAUAUAUUUACUACCCCGNGUCCAUCAUUAUUAAUUAAAUUAUAUAUACGAGUCUCUUGUCAUUAUUCAAAGUUACGAUCAAUAAAAGUGUCAUUUUGUAUACUCAAUCAUUUUCCUUAGAUCCCACCUUAUUCCAAAAAAUUUAUGUGGCCUCUGUUCAUAUUACACUUAUAUUAACACAAACAAAUUUACAUCUGCACCUCUCAUUCUUGCUUGUACCAGAAAAGAGGAGUGAAAAUAAACAUGGAGGAAGGGAAAGCUGAAAAUCUGACAGAGAGCUUGCUAGGAGAAGAAGCAAGAAGUGUAGGGGAAGUUGGCAUAAAAUGGACAAGUGUUGAGCUGUGGAAAGAAGAGUCCAAGAAGCUAUGGCACAUAGCUGGUCCUUCUAUUUUUACCAGGGUCACAUCCUACAGCAUGAAUAUUGUUACUCAAGCUUUUGCUGGUCACCUUGGUGACCUUGAGCUUGCUUCCAUUUCCAUUGGCAACACUGUUGUUCUUGGUUUCAAUUUUGGACUCAUUGUAAGUUGUCUUAUUUGCUUUUGCUGCUAUAACAUAUCUGUUUUGUCGGGAAAUGAUAUAUGGA
This 1309-nucleotide long non-coding RNA is filed under the name Daucus carota (carrot). RNAcentral's name for it is "long non-coding RNA (DCAR_LNC003924)". The record is from RNAcentral. Lineage: Eukaryota; Viridiplantae; Streptophyta; Magnoliopsida; Apiales; Apiaceae.